UACAUUUUCAACAAUUUCAGUAUAAAUCCACCUGUACAUGAAUGAAUGAAUUAAUUAAGUUAUUUAUUCAACCAACUUAAGCACAUAACAUCAUUCAAACACAGGUCAUGACAGCUCUGCAAAACAAUUCAAAUAGUGUGGAAACAAUUCCCUUUCAAAACAAAGAGCUUAAACUCUGCUAAUGAGAUUAAGUUUGAGAUGUUUCUGUAAGUCCUUCCAUGCUACUGAAUCAAAGCAUCUUACUGUCUAGCCACUGUGGCACUGCUGACAUAAGCUAUGAUUUACUUUGCAGUAAACAUUUAUAAGAUGGCUCAGACAGAUGGAUCAGCAACCUGUCACGUUUCAGCCUGAAAAACAAACAAACAAACAAACAACUUGUCCGAUAAACAAGCAGGAUGGUAGCACUGGUCCAGCUCGAUGUGGACAGAUCGAAGCAGAAGCGAUGGAGGAAACAACGCCAGACCCCGCGUUCGUGGAUGUGGACCAGGGCUUGACUCUGGCAUGCAUUGCUUUCCUCUGCCUGCUGCUGGUGGCCAUGAUUAUCCGCUGUGCCAAAGUCAUCAUGGACCCAUACAGCGCCAUCCCCACGUCCACCUGGGAGGAGCAGCAUCUAGACGACUAGCAUGACUUGCAGACAAACCUGUGUCCAGGAUGCAAGGUCAAGUUACAUGGACUUACUCCAAUACUGAAGCACACCAACUAGAGUCUCUACAAGCUUUGAAACUACCUACAACACUGGGACCGGGCAGAACAACCCAACACUGCACAGAACUGUUCCCAGAGCAACAUAUCAAAUACACUAAGAUAAUAAUCAUUGAAUGAAUUUGAGAAUGGUGAGUUAUAUUUUUGGGGGAACCUUUUAGGUUUUGUACAUUUUUCUAAUAAUCAUGAUGGAUGGGGUGUGCGAAUGUAAUAUAUAAUAAUGUAUAAUGUAAUGUUCAGUGAAAUGAAGCCUGGCUUGGAGGCAUGUUUACAAAGCUGCGCAUAAGGACCAUUCAACAUUGAAAUGAGUGUUAUUUAUAUCUGUUUACAGUUAAGCGACAAAAAUAAGUACGCUAGCUUGAAUGCAAUUCAGGAUGAGGAUGAGGUUUGUGCCGAUAAUAAGUUAUACAACAUAUCAUAAUAAUCAACAUGCACAACAUCAUUACUCUUCCAUUUAGGAGGAGGCCGCCUGGGCAGACAGUACUUUUAGGUUGUCUGUCGCAUUGGGAAAGAAGCCUUUGAAGGUAGCACCAUAUCUUUCUUCUUGAAGGCAUUACAAUAAAAAAAAACAAAAAAAACAAUCAGUAGCUAUGAAGUGGCUUUUUGAUUCAAAUGCUACUCAAUGAGAAAAAGUACUGGUAAACAUUGUCAUUUUUAAUAUACUGUGUUAAUGUCAUAAACGGUGAGAAAAUUUUGAAAAUGUAUUAUCGGCACAUGCCUGUUUAGGAUACUCAACUCCAGAUCAAGCCAUUUAGCUGAGGUUUAGAGGAAUUCCCUUUAUUCUUAAAUGUGACUGCCUUUGGCUGCUACUUAAAGUCCACUUCCUUUGCUCCUCUGUUGUCUUGAGCCAUAUCAAUUACCGCAUUUAUCUGCAGAGAAUUAUAACCAUAACUGCAUGUUAUCAAGUGCCUCAGCCAAAAUCACAAAGACUGUCUUGAAGCAGCACACAAUCAAAAUAAUGUGUAGCAGAUCAAACAAUAAUGUCUUGACUGAUUGAAACUGCAACUGUG
Long non-coding RNA from Ictalurus punctatus (channel catfish), 1712 nucleotides. Lineage: Eukaryota; Metazoa; Chordata; Actinopteri; Siluriformes; Ictaluridae. The record is from Ensembl.